AAAACGACUCUCGGCAACGGAUAUCUCGGCUCUCGCAUCGAUGAAGAACGUAGCGAAAUGCGAUACUUGGUGUGAAUUGCAGAAUCCCGUGAACCAUCGAGUCUUUGAACGCAAGUUGCGCCCCANGCCUUCUGGCCGAGGGCACGUCUGCCUGGGUGUCACAA
This 164-nucleotide ribosomal RNA is filed under the name Cardamine hirsuta (hairy bittercress). Its description in RNAcentral is "5.8S ribosomal RNA". It matches the Rfam family "5.8S ribosomal RNA". From Rfam's summary of the family: 5.8S ribosomal RNA (5.8S rRNA) is a component of the large subunit of the eukaryotic ribosome. The record is from RNAcentral. Lineage: Eukaryota; Viridiplantae; Streptophyta; Magnoliopsida; Brassicales; Brassicaceae.